Non-coding RNA from Petromyzon marinus (sea lamprey), 8478 nucleotides. The record is from RefSeq and is a predicted model, not a curated record. NCBI's taxonomy places the organism in Eukaryota, Metazoa, Chordata, Hyperoartia, Petromyzontiformes, Petromyzontidae.
GGACGGCCCCUUGAUCUCCAAUGAAGAUGCGUAGAUUUUAAAUGUCGUCAAUCCAGAGGCGAUUAUUCCAGCUCUCAAACUCAAGUCGUGCACCACCGCUGCAACUGAAGCUCUGCCACAUACAGAAAUAACUUGGAAGCUCCACGCAAAACCCACUUAAUUGGGUUCUGCCUCCACUGGUUUUUCCACGUGUGGCAUACGUAAAGUCCAUGCCCGCAAAUACGCCAUCCCGAAGGGCUUAAACAGUUGCUUGGGUCAACUCAGAAGCUUGUCCCUUUGGAGUCGAAAUGAGGACCACUUCGUGAGUAUUGCUUGGGGGGCUCAAUGCUGGCAGCAUCUGAUUUGCCUUGCUCCUAGCCAUUUCAUUUUAUUGUGCUGUAUAGAAUAACGGAUGCUCAAUGCACAUGUACAGAUGUACAGCCACAGCACGUUGCCAUACUCCAAUCAGCAGUAUCAUCACCGCAGAGAUGGAGCGUCGAAAUCGGCUGGCGUGGAGUUGUCAAACCAAUGUAACAAUACAUGGAGUGGAAAUGGAUUGGGGAGGUCUUGAUCCAGCAGUGGAUAGAGUAUGGCUGAUGACAACGAAAAUCAUCUACACAUUUUCAUGAUCAUUUUUUUUUUUUUACAAAUCUAAUUGGUAUAAUAUAAGGAAGUGAAAGCAUUUGUUGUUACAAAAAAAUGUCAUGAACAUCAAAACGGACACCAAAUUGAUGUUGGGAGAGCCUUGUUUCUUUCUGUCAAUCUCCCAUUUUGCAGUGGCGAUACGGGUUUUCCAAUCUCAGGUGAUGCAAUGCAGGUGGAUCAAUUGACCAUUGAAAAGUACAAGCAGUAUGCAAUGGUAACGCAGCAGUGGCAAAAGCAGCCACGAUACCAGUUCAAGAAAGCUGCACGGACUCUGAAUGUGUCCAUCUGGUGGUGGAGAAACUCUGGGGGAAGCUCCUGCCAACGCGUUACACUUUCUCAAUCCACCCGCGCGCAUUUUCCUGAGGAUGGAAAACGCGAGGUGAGUUUCUUAGCCUACCUAACCCAGAGCUCCGUGCCGCCGCUGCUGUGCGGCCGGGCUAAUGUCUGAUGGUGCCAUUCAACUGGACAGGUCCAAGUUCAGAUUUUGGAUCAGGAUAAUGGGAGCUCCACACCGAUUGUCUGCAGGGAGGCAACGAUUGGCAACCCAGUCGGACAGAGCUCUCAGAAACAGAGCAGGUGUCGGCCAGCACCCAAAAUCGCGAAAUUAGGUUCUCAAUCCAGGCCCAAAGGGCCUUGUCUGUGAGUAAGGCAUGUUCGUUAGCUUCCUGUUGCCCUGUGUUUUCGACUGGAAGUUUCAGCACUCUCCUGAGACCUUGAAAGCUCUGCUCCAAAUAUUUGUUCUGCGGAGGGCCCAUGUGCGCAUAGGCAGCUUUCUCUGCAAAUAAAGAAUUGUUAAGAAGUCAGUACAAUGCAAAUACUGUGCAACUUCAAAUAACACUUCAGCACGAGAACAUACAAUCUGAGCUACAUCACUGUGACGUCAACUAAAACAAUGUUGGUACGAUGUUUAACGUCAGCUUGUGUCGCGAAAUUACAUCCUUUACACAAGGGGGCCAGAACUAGAGCCGAAUGCACGAUCGACAACAGCAGAUCAAUUGUUUUAAGCACUGCACGUCCCUGCCAACUACUGCGGCACAACUCCACUCAAUGUACAGCGGUAGAGGCGUCGCCGCUUGUUGCAGAAGUUCGCGGUUCAAAUCCAUCGGCAGCCCUAGUCACUACCGUGGGUAUAUUAGCCGUAAAAAUACGCGCCGUCUGCUUCACAGUAGACGAUACAAAUCGUGUGGUGUCAUUCGCAAAAUAAUAACUUUGUAUUAUUGCAAUGUAUAUAUGCAUGUUGAACUUCUUGCCCACCGUACGUAGCUAACCGUGCUAAUCGGAGGUUCGGCGGAAGGACAACGAACUAAACACAAAAAGCAGUGCUAAAGAAAUAAGUUUUCCAUCAUGGCCCCCUCCUGUAAACAUUUGGCGGGACCCUCCUGAAACAGAGUCGCGAGACUCGGCGAGGCUCACCUUUGGUAAACAACCGUGAGACAAAAAGGCAUAGUUAAAAAUACGUGAUCAAAAAUAACGUACGAAAUACCUCACCUUUCGUCAUCGGUUGCCCGUCCAAGAAAGCCAACGGGCAAACCAUGAACAACACCUCCGCCACGGGGCGCCAGCGAACGAGCAGGCGGACGGACCAGGCCCCUGGUCGGAGAGGCAGCCGCAGCGGGGGUCGGUACAGGGUCACGAGCAGGUCCCCGCGCACGGGAGCGUCGUACGAAGCGGCGAUCACGCCGGCGGGGUCCAGCCACACCACCGUCACGGUGACGUUAGCCCCCGGUACCCAGUGCUGCACGGCCACGGGCUGCUCCCACGGGCCCAGCAGCCCCCCAAAGUUUCUGAAAACCCUUUCCUUGGGGUCCCAGUCUGUCCCCACCUGCGGAAAACAACGUGCGAGUAACUUCCCACUCAAACUAGCUUGUGACGAUGGCGCAAGUCCCCCACAUCUCAGAAUCAGUUCGCAGGCUUUUCACCAUCACACCGUCGCCAAUAAUGUCCCCUUCUGCGUAGCACAUGAAGAAGGAUCAUUGCCCAAAACGUCACCUAACAUAUAUUUCCCUUUAAAGGCCACAGUGCUAUUGACAAAUGUGUCGAGUUUUUAGCCUUGGUGGUGAGUGUACUUUCACCUCCAUCUUCUGCAGCCGGGGUAACAGAGUGGAGUUGUACACUUUGUAGUGGUUGCUUGGGUACGCCCAGGUUUCCAGAACUUCCUCGUGGCGGGAGGCUGAGUGUGACGCUCUCUGCUGCACCAAGAUACCCUGGAAUCGGUCGGCUGAGAAGUAAAUGUGGGCAGCUGUGGGAUGCCCCACUGGCUCGUAGCUGCGGGCACAAGAGCAGUGAAAAUACGAGGAAAUAAAACAUCUUGCAGUAAAACAUUAAAUUCUGUCAUCACAUUAUUAUUUAUUAAUAAAUAGUACAAAGCGUGUAAGUGUGUGUAAACGUAUUCAAAGCAGCUAUUGUCCGUGCUCAUAUAUGUUAGUGGCCCUGAGAAUCUAGCGGAAAUUCCACACUCUAAAUCUCCUACGGCCGACAGAGUUGACCAUCGUUGAGAAGGAGCAAUGGGAUCGCCUCACGUGCACAAGCCAGGCGGACAUUGCGACAUUGCGGCAUUGCGGGACCGUGAGGGAUGCCGAUGACCCCGUGGCGGCCCUCAUCCAUCGUGGCUGCCGCUGGCGAUGACGACGAUGAUGACCUCACCUGCACAGGCUGCUGCCGGAUCGUGGCGUUUGGUGCGCGUUUUGAGCGAGGCCGAGGCGGAAGAGGCCCUGGUAGAUCGUGAGGGCGGCGUCGCCGAGUGAUGCCGACGAGUCCGUCCUCUCGUCGUACGCAUUUUCCCAGUAGGCCUGCAGAGACGGUCCGCUGGGCGGCGGCGGCCCUCCGAACAGAGCCGCGUCCAAACUCGUGAGCACCCCCUGGCUCACCACUGCCUCAAAUUUACGGGCAAAAAAUGUCGGGCGUGUAAGUUGCUGCGAAUGCAAACAAAAGGAAAGGAAAGAAACGGUGCACAAACUUAAUAUUCAGCAAGUAAUUAGACGAAUCGCUCAAGAGUUAAAAAACACGUGACACAUUUGACAAGAGAAUAGACCAAUGUUGAUUGCUGAUGUAAUAAAAGAUAAUGAUGUCCAGUGCUAAAUCGUAGUUCAUGCAAAUUUAAUCUCACAAUCGCUUCGGAACCAGAGACGAGCUGAAAGGCAGCCAAGCGCUGAGCCCACGCCAACAUUUUUUUUUUUUACCCACGUGACUUUACCGAAUAGAACCAAAGAGUAUGGAUCCUUGCAGUCACGAAAACUUCAAAUAUAGAAAUCUAGAAUUGCACAAAGCUCUGCAGCCCUCUACGUAUGAAUGUACUUUCAGCCAAAAAAUAAAUGUGAUGGGAAAAAAUGUGUCUGCAAAUUAAGACUAAAAUUGACUACUUUAAACUAGAAGGCAGCACGGCACUGCUUUCUCUGCAUGCUUAGAGUGCAUGUACCUUUAGAAGCACAUUCCAUUUUUUUGGAAAAGUAAUAAACACACUUUGUGAUUUUAAAGGAAGCUGCAACCCAUAAAACUGCUCUCAUUUCUCAGAUACACACCUGGGCUGCAAGCCCUGGGCUGUCUGACAAAAACUUCGUUAUUGAGAUAUACAAAAAGUAAAGUAAUGGUCAAGCUUUGCUACCAUAGCUCACUCGAAAGACGUCACCGCAUCGGCACUGCAUAAGAAUGAAGGGGAUCGACAUCACGGGGGCACGGUGCUUAAACUUGCCGCUGGGCAGGCCAGGACAAUGCCGGUUAGCUGAAUUUCUACAAUAGCUUUCCGUUUCCGAGCCACGUGUCCCUCUUUAAGCACGUGGAAGAUGUACGUAUGUAGAACUUAAAUCGCAUCGUACGUAGCCAACCGUGCCGAUCGGAGAUGUGGGGGAAAAAAUUACUUUGAGAUGCAGUUUCGAUUAUUUAGGUGGUACGAGAGAUUCAAAAUCCUUAUCCUUGUGAGCACGGGACAUCAAUAGCCUCUGUCUAAAUUGAAUAGCACGUACCUGGAAUCUUGGCAAGUCGUGCAUCUUGAAAUCGUUUGGGGAACAGCCACACCAGUCCACAAUGUGUUUGUACUGGCACUUGCAGCCCAACUUUCUAUUCCAGUUCGUCAUGCGCAGGUUGUUGUCAACCAGUGUGGCACAGUGCUCGCUGUUCACCAGCAAGGUGUGGAAGAACGACUGUGAACGGCAACAUAAAUCACGGUGGUCGUCGUAUCAUUGGCUCGCACUACAGCCAACAAAUAACGGUUAUUCAACAGAGCUGUUGUUCGUCUAUGGCACGGUGUUUCUCAAACUUUUCUGGCCCGCGAACCGCUCCGCUCAGCCGAUGCAAACAUUUCCGCGGACCACCCAGCCCACCGACCCCUGGUGACAAAACGCAUUCGCUUCUCUCUCUCUCUCUCAAUGCCAGUAAGACAAAAUGAUUCAUAUUACUGGAACAUAAACACUUUUUUUUUUACGCAGCUAUAAGGAUUUUUUUUAGGGGAGACAUUUAGAUCUUAGGGUUUAGGGCAGUUUAAUCAGGGUUGCUUACUUAACUUUAUUUUAAAAUCAAAUGUCAUAAGUGAAAUGUUAAUGUUCGAAACAAAAGGUAUAAACAUUGUCAUUAUUGUCCGGAUUAACCUGCAUUUGCAUCACAGCCCCGCGGAUCACCUGGAGGACUGUUGCAGACCACUGCUGCCCACGUUGAGAACCACUGGUCUCGCAAAAUAACCACGCAGAGGAGGGCGCAAGUCACCGUGCCAUUGAUACCUCAAAUUAAACAACAAAUGUCUUUAAAGGAGGAGCACGUGCACGAAAUGUAAUAUGCUGUAGACGUGAUUGUGCAUUACCUCUGCUGGUAACAGGGCGAAGGCGUAGAACUGUUUGAGCUGAGACACCAGGCGGGAUUUGGAGUGAAUGAUGUAGGACACAAAUUGGCGGGUGACCGCAAACCAGUCCGAGCCGCCAUCGAUGGCAAUCCCUGCCGGCAUUUUGCGUUCUCCUACGCGCCACAUGUGUUCAUCGCAUUCGUGGAACACUCUGUUCAGGCCCUGUUUUUUAAUGAACCUGUGGAGCAAAUCAGCAAGUUUACAUGUCCGUACCUAUCCACUGAGAGUGUAUUUGUGUUCUUUCAGCAUGCCGCAUUCUUUCAACAUUAAUCAUAACAUUUAUUUACAAAACUUCAUCUCGAAAAUUGACAUCAAACAAAUAUGCCACUGCUAAUAAAGAUGUAUAUCCCGUUAAAACGAUGUCAUUAAUAUAGAGUACGUACAGACAUUACAAUUAACCAGUGUAAGCUCUAGAUUGCUACGUCAUUACAUUGCAAAAAAGUAUCCAUCAACAUGUCUUAAGAGAGAAUUGGGCCUUCUUCGAUUUUCUGAUGACAUCAUCUGCAACCAAUGAAAUUGAAUAACAGGAAAUUAUUCCAUAUUGCCAGCUAUGUACAUGGCUCAAGCACUUACGUGUUGUGUUUUUGUAAUUUGUGCUUUUGCACCACUGCCAAUCCAGUAUAUCACACAACGGAUUUCUAUUUAAUAUCCACAAUAUUGCACAUUAUGAAGAAACCUAAUCUUCAGUCAAAGGGACCAUUCAAAUUUGUCUUGGCAACAGAUGACAAAGGGAUUUUAAAAGUUAAAUGAAUAUGUACAAAACAAGAUCAUACCUGGCAACCCCCUAUCAGUGCCUACCGUAUUACAGAACAAUUCAGACCUAAUUGGUCAUUCCAUGCCCUUAUAAAUCUCACCAUAUGGACCUAAAAACAACAUUUUUCUGAACAAGAAUACGGGUAAACCGUAUGGGUUGACAGGUAUACAAUAUACUCUACUAUGUAAAGUGUAAGGCGUUUGAUGAAAGGAAUAGUUUUAUGAAUAAUGAUCAUCAACACACUUACUUUUCAGUUUCUCGGCCAUGAGAUUUAAGGAAAUUCUUGUCUUUGUAUUUGGUGAGGAAGGCGACCAGUUCAUUAUUGCUUCUAAAAAAAAUAAUGUAAAAAAGCAGCAUAAAACAUUUUUUUAUAUUUUAAAACAUAAGCAGACUGAUUUAAUUGAUAACAUUUCAUAUUUACACGAUUUCAAAUGAACGGUUGAUGCGCAUCAUUCAGCACUGCUACACAUGCCUCCUUAACUGACUCAAUGUCAGUUUAUUCUCCCACAAUCCACCAAGACAGUUCGUCAUAGCAUUUUGUUGUACUGUACUGUGUUGCCUCACCUUUUACACACGAGAGCUGAAGCUCAGGCAUUUGGCAUACAGGCCAAAAGUGCUUUGUGCUGUCUACAGAGAUGAUGUAACAUGGAUACAUUUUACCCUCAUAUGCCUGUUCAGCUAUGGACCACAAUGGGCAUAGAGUGGUGGCCAGCCAACAGGAGUGGAAAUACUGAACUGUGGGAAAAGAUAAUGCAAGUUUGUUCAUGAGAAGUCCAAUGAGACUGCCUGCCAUACGAGCAUUACGCAACCACGGGACAGAGGCGCGUGCACGUGUACCGCUCAAAACGAGACGACGCACGGCGCCGUACGAACCGAAUUGGGUAGUCGGAGCCACUGAGGUUGAUGAAAAAGUCCCACGGCCAGUCGUCCAUGGCCAUCAGAUCAGACAUGGCGCGAAGGUACAUGGUGAGGAGGCUGGCGCCCCCCCAGAUGGUCGACAUGCGCCAGGACGUCACGCGGACGUUCUCGUAGCGCUGGGCAAGUACCAGCACCUGCUUGUAGAGCUUUUAAAUGAACCUGGGCCACCCUGUGCACAAGAGACAACACAGCCAUGAAGACAACACAGAGGCACAACUGUGAAGACAACACAGACACAGAGCCAUGAAGACUGCACAGAGACAGCGAAGAAAAGACGAGAGACGUUCAACAAAUAUGAACUCAUCUCAUUCAGAGCGCGAACGUGCAUUAACGAUGUAGCCGGUGCGAAUCUAACGGCUACAGACAAUCCGACUAAAUUUGAGUAUUCUGCUCGUUGAAGUUUGUAUGCAUAUAAACAGUAACACAGUUAAUCUAAAAAGAAACCAACUGGUGAUGUUUCCUAUUUUGCGUUACCCUCCUGAGCCCCACUGGAUUUCAUAUUUCAAAUAAGUGACAAGGGGGAGGGGGGAAUGGCUCAGCUACAUGUGGCUGUGAUUAUUAUCGUAACGCAUUAAAACAAUCCGUCGAUCCGGAGGGCUUUUGUGGCAUUGCCGUGAGAGCCCAUCUAUUAUUUCACGAGUUAUUUUCACAGCUACGCCUACCGACAACGAGUGAAACGGCAUGUUGGCAGUCCGUCGGGGGUUAGGUGACUUCCCGCACGAACGCAACAUUCACAUGUGGUACAGCCGAGAGCACUGUCCUGUAUUCACACAAGUCCGCUCAACUUGUCACAUGUGGGGUUCAGGGCAAAAACGAAAAUGUUUACUCAUGGCUUAUACUUCGGAACUGCAUUUAAAACUUUGCACCUUCAAUGCUUUGUUUCAGCUGCUACUUCUACUGUGCAUGGAGUUGAUAAAUGAACAGCUUUAGAAGUUUGGGUGUUAAACAAACCCGCGGAUGGUAAAGAGUGAAAAAUUUGAGAAAAUGCACCAAAUUGAACCUUAGAACCGCACCAAGCCUCAUCACACCUGGCCUCAUCACACCUGGCCCUGUCACCUGACUGCGUCACACCCUGGCCACGUCACAGCUGGCCCUGCCAGCUGGCCGCAUCACACCUAUCAUCACACCUGUCAUCACCGCUGACUGCGUCACACCUGGCCGUGUCACACCAGGCCGCACCAGAUCGAGAUGUUACACGUGCCUCUUGCUGCAGAGGCAGCGCAGCCAACCGCUGCGACUGCGGCAAGUGAACUGCCACGGUGGGAGGGACACUACGACUCCUUGACAAGUCGGGCGCAACAGUGGCAGCAGGCGCAGCUGUGGCGUGCAGCUGCCUCUCUUGCCUACCUUUAAG